Gorilla gorilla gorilla (western lowland gorilla) is the source of this 636-nucleotide long non-coding RNA. RefSeq lists it as uncharacterized. Lineage: Eukaryota; Metazoa; Chordata; Mammalia; Primates; Hominidae. The record is from RefSeq and is a predicted model, not a curated record. The transcript is spliced from 4 exons.
CAAAUUGUAGAAUACACACACACACGCACACACACACACACGUCACACACACAGCACCUUAAAAUGAAUUUUCUCUAGGGAAACAACAAAAUGAACCCUGCACUUGAACAACAUUUCAUUUUCAGUACCAUUAGCUGAAGAAGUAUUAAGGCAAGGUUGCCUUCUUAAUGAUUAUUACAUGUGUUCUAUCCUCAGUACGUCAUUUACAAUAUUCAGACUUGGAAUAAAGUACUUUGAACUCCCCAGCGGCCAGUCAGAAAAUGAGGAACAGGUUGUGAAUAGAAGAUACAAAGGAGUAUUAGAUCUGCAUUGAUUAAAUGGUGACUACAAAUAGACUUAAAAUACAUCUUCCCAAUUAUGAAUCUCUACAGGUGGCUUUGUCCUGUUCACCCAACUGGAAUGGUUGCAUCGAAGUAAGAAAAUUUUCUCCAAAAAUUAAUACCCAGAUCUACGCCAAAAACAAAGUGAAGAAUACAGCUUCUGCCCUCACCAAGUCAUCUCUAAUAGAGAGAUUUCCUUAAACAUAAAUAUCUUCAAAAUGCUUGUUCAUUUGAGAGAAAGAUACAGAAUAUUUUACAUGUGCCCUUCGCUGGAAUAUUUUUAUUUAUUUAAUUCAAUAAAAAUUGACUCACAGUU